CUUCCCUCUGGCGGGGGAUAACCUUCCGAAAGGAGGGCUAAUACCGCAUAUGACCACGGCCACGAAAGUGGCUGCGGUAAAAGCAGGCCUCUAUACAUAAGCUUGCACCAGAGAAUGAGUCCGCGGCCCAUCAGCUAGUUGGCGGGGUAAUGGCCCACCAAGGCAACGACGGGUAGCUGGUCUGAGAGGAUGGCCAGCCACACUGGGACUGAGACACGGCCCAG
This 224-nucleotide ribosomal RNA is filed under the name uncultured bacterium. RNAcentral's name for it is "partial 16S ribosomal RNA". It matches the Rfam family "Bacterial small subunit ribosomal RNA", at positions 126 to 334 of the family's 1533-position model. The record is from RNAcentral.